UACGUAGGGGGCGAGCGUUGUCCGGAAUUAUUGGGCGUAAAGGGCGUGUAGGCGGUCUGGUAAGUCGGGGGUGAAACCCCGGGGCUCAACCCCGGGACUGCCUCCGAUACUGCUGGACUUGAGUGCUCUAGAGGGCAGUGGAAUUGCCGGUGUAGCAGUGAAAUGCGUAGAGAUCGGCAGGAACACCAGUGGCGAAGGCGACUGCCUGGGGAGCAACUGACGCUGAGGCGCGAAAGCUAGGGGAGCAAACAGG
Molecule: unclassified non-coding RNA, 253 nt
Filed under: uncultured Eubacteriales bacterium
Lineage: Bacteria; Bacillati; Bacillota; Clostridia; Eubacteriales
Description: contains 16S-23S intergenic spacer region
Rfam family: Bacterial small subunit ribosomal RNA
Source: RNAcentral